AGCGAACGCUGGCGGCAGGCUUAACACAUGCAAGUCGAGCGGGCACUUUCGGGUGUCAGCGGCGGACGGGUGAGUAACGCGUGGGAACGUGCCCUCUGGUUCGGAAUAACUCAGGGAAACUUGAGCUAAUACCGGAUACGCCCUUUUGGGGAAAGGCUUGCUGCCGGAGGAUCGGCCCGCGUCUGAUUAGCUAGUUGGCGAGGUAACGGCUCACCAAGGCGACGAUCAGUAGCUGGUCUGAGAGGAUGAUCAGCCACACUGGGACUGAGACACGGCCCAGACUCCUACGGGAGGCAGCAGUGGGGAAUAUUGGACAAUGGGCGCAAGCCUGAUCCAGCCAUGCCGCGUGAGUGAUGAAGGCCUUAGGGUUGUAAAGCUCUUUUAUCCGGGACGAUAAUGGCGGUACCGGAGGAAUAAGCCCCGGCUAACUUCGUG
This 435-nucleotide ribosomal RNA is filed under the name uncultured bacterium. RNAcentral's name for it is "partial 16S ribosomal RNA". It matches the Rfam family "Bacterial small subunit ribosomal RNA", at positions 29 to 507 of the family's 1533-position model. The record is from RNAcentral.